This 439-nucleotide ribosomal RNA is filed under the name Exophiala mesophila. RNAcentral's name for it is "eukaryotic LSU rRNA". It matches the Rfam family "Eukaryotic large subunit ribosomal RNA", at positions 1 to 437 of the family's 3401-position model. The record is from RNAcentral. Lineage: Eukaryota; Fungi; Ascomycota; Eurotiomycetes; Chaetothyriales; Herpotrichiellaceae.
UGACCUCGGAUCAGGUAGGAAUACCCGCUGAACUUAAGCAUAUCAAUAAGCGGAGGAAAAGAAACCAACAGGGAUUGCCUCAGUAACGGCGAGUGAAGCGGCAACAGCUCAAAUUUGAAAUCUGGCCUCUUUGGGGUCCGAGUUGUAAUUUGUAGAGGAUGUUUCGGGUACCGCUCCGGUUUAAAUUUCUUGGAACAGAAUGUCAGAGAGGGUGAGAAUCCCGUCUUGGACCGGUGGUAGGACCUAUGUGAAACUCCUUCGACGAGUCGAGUUGUUUGGGAAUGCAGCUCAAAAUGGGUGGUAAAUUUCAUCUAAAGCUAAAUAUUGGCCAGAGACCGAUAGCGCACAAGUAGAGUGAUCGAAAGAUGAAAAGCACUUUGAAAAGAGAGUUAAACAGUAUGUGAAAUUGUUGAAAGGGAAGCGCUUGCACCAGACUUGA